This 559-nucleotide ribosomal RNA is filed under the name uncultured bacterium. RNAcentral's name for it is "bacterial SSU rRNA". It matches the Rfam family "Bacterial small subunit ribosomal RNA", at positions 777 to 1350 of the family's 1533-position model. The record is from RNAcentral.
AAUAGAUACCCGGGUAGUCCACGCCGUAAACGACGGAUGCUAGCUGUUAUGCGUAUCGACCCGUGUAGUAGCGAAGCUAACGCGUUAAGCAUCCCGCCUGGGGAGUACGAACGCAAGUUUAAAACUCAAAGGAAUUGACGGGGACCCGCACAAGCGGUGGAGCGUGUUCUUUAAUUCGAGGCUAAGCGAAGAACCUUACCAGGGCUUGACAUCCUUGGAAUUUCUCCGAAAGGAGAGAGUACUUUAUUGGACCAAGUGACAGGUGCUGCAUGGCCGUCGUCAGCUCGUGUCGUGAGAUGUUUGGUUAAGUCCAUUAACGAGCGCAACCCUUAUGAAUAGUUGUAUUUUUCUAUUCAGACUGCCCCGGUAACGGGGAGGAAGGGGGGAUGAUGUCAGGUCAGUAUUGCCCUUACGCCCUGGGCUAGAAACGCGCUACAAUGGCCGGUACAAUGCGCUGCCAACCCGCGAGGGGGAGCAAAUCGCAUCAAAGCCGGUCCCAGUUCGGAUAAGAGGCUGAAACUCGCCUCUUUGAAGCCGGAAUCGCUAGUAAUCGUAGGUC